RNAcentral lists this ribosomal RNA (886 nucleotides) under uncultured archaeon. RNAcentral describes it as "bacterial SSU rRNA". It matches the Rfam family "Archaeal small subunit ribosomal RNA", at positions 21 to 922 of the family's 1478-position model. The record is from RNAcentral.
GGGCCCCUAGGUUCGACUAGCAUGCGAGUCGAUGUAGCAAUACAUGGCGUACUGCUCAGUAACACGUGGACAACCUACCCUUGGGUCGGGGAUAAACCCGGGAAACUGGGUAUAAUACCCGAUAGUCCUCGAAUGCUGGAAUGCAUCGAGUUCGAAAACUCCGGUGCCCAAGGAUGGGUCUGCGGCCUAUCAGGUAGUAGUGGGUGUAGCGUACCUACUAGCCUACGACGGGUACGGGUUGUGAGAGCAAGAGCCCGGAGAUGGAUUCUGAGACACGAAUCCAGGCCCUACGGGGUGCAGCAGGCGCGAAAACUUUACAAUGCCGGCAACGGCGAUAAGGGAACCUCGAGUGCCAGGUUACAAAUCUGGCUGUCGUGAUGCCUAAAAAGCAUUGCAUAGCAAGGGCCGGGCAAGACCGGUGCCAGCCGCCGCGGUAACACCGGCGGCUCGAGUGGUAACCGUUAUUAUUGGGUCUAAAGGGUCUGUAGCCGGCCGGAUAAGUCUCUUGGGAAAUCUGGCAGCUUAACUGUCAGGCUUUCAGGAGAUACUGUCUGGCUCGAGGCCGGGAGAGGUGAGAGGUACUUCAGGGGUAGGGGUGAAAUCUUGUAAUCCUUGAAGGACCACCAGUGGCGUAGGCGUCUCACCAGAACGGGCCUGACGGCAAGGGACGAAAGCUAGGGGCACGAACCGGAUUAGAUACCCGGGUAGUCCUAGCCGUAAACGAUACUCGCUAGGUGUCGGCCACGGUGCGACCGUGGUCGGUGCCGUAGGGAAGCCGUGAAGCGAGCCACCUGGGAAGUACGGCCGCAAGGCUGAAACUUAAAGGAAUUGGCGGGGGAGCACCACAACGGGUGGAGCUUGCGGUUUAAUUGGAUUCAACGCCGGG